This 92-nucleotide transfer RNA is filed under the name Felis catus (domestic cat). It matches the Rfam family "tRNA". From Rfam's summary of the family: Transfer RNA (tRNA) molecules are approximately 80 nucleotides in length. Their secondary structure includes four short double-helical elements and three loops (D, anti-codon, and T loops). The record is from Rfam by way of RNAcentral. Lineage: Eukaryota; Metazoa; Chordata; Mammalia; Carnivora; Felidae.
ACCUGGGUGGCUCAGUUGGUUGAGCAUCCGACUCUUGAUCUCGGCUCAGGUCAUGAUCCCACAAUUCGUGGGUUCGAGCCCCACACCAGGUG